AGCGAACGCUGGCGGCAGGCCUAACACAUGCAAGUCGAACGGACCCUUCGGGGUUAGUGGCGGACGGGUGAGUAACACGUGGGAACGUGCCUUUAGGUUCGGAAUAGCUCCUGGAAUCGGGUGGUAAUGCCGAAUGUGCCCUUCGGGGGAAAGGUUUAUCGCCUUUAGAGCGGCCCGCGUCUGAUUAGCUAGUUGGUGAGGUAAUGGCUCACCAAGGCGACGAUCAGUAGCUGGUCUGAGAGGAUGACCAGCCACACUGGGACUGAGACACGGCCCAGACUCCAACGGGAGGCAGCAGUGGUGAAUCUUGCGCAAUGGGCGAAAGCCUGACGCAGCCAUGCCGCGUGAAUGAUGAAGGUCUUAGGAUUGUAAAAUUCUUUCACCGGGGACGAUAAUGACGGUACCCGGAGAAGAAGCCCCGGCUAACUUCGUGCCAGCCGCCGCGGUAA
RNAcentral lists this ribosomal RNA (449 nucleotides) under uncultured bacterium. Its description in RNAcentral is "partial 16S ribosomal RNA". It matches the Rfam family "Bacterial small subunit ribosomal RNA", at positions 29 to 523 of the family's 1533-position model. The record is from RNAcentral.